This 468-nucleotide ribosomal RNA is filed under the name uncultured bacterium. RNAcentral describes it as "partial 16S ribosomal RNA". It matches the Rfam family "Bacterial small subunit ribosomal RNA", at positions 28 to 507 of the family's 1533-position model. The record is from RNAcentral.
GACGAACGCUGGCGGCGUGCUUAACACAUGCAAGUCGAACGGAAAGGCCCUGCUUUUUUGGGGUUCUCGAGUGGCGAACGGGUGAGUAACACGUGAGUAACCUGCCCUUGACUUUGGGAUAACUUCAGGAAACUGGGGCUACUACCGUAUAGGAGCUCCUGUUGCAUGGUGGGCGUUGGAACGUUUCGGCUGUUGGGGAUGGACUCGCGGCUUAUCAGCUUGUUGGUUGGGUAGUGGCUUACCAAGGCUUUGACGGGUAGCCGGCAUGAGAGGGUGAACGGCCACAAUGGGACUGAGAUACGGACCAGACGCGUACGGGAGGCAGCAGGGGGGAAUAUUGCACAGUGGGCGGAAGCCUGAGGCAGAAACGCCGCGUGCGGGAUGACGGCCUUCGGGGUGUAAAACGCUUUCGCCUGAGACGAAGCGUGAGUGACGGUAAUGAGUAAAGAAGCACCGGCUAACUACGUG